This 477-nucleotide ribosomal RNA is filed under the name uncultured Magnetococcus sp. RNAcentral's name for it is "bacterial SSU rRNA". It matches the Rfam family "Bacterial small subunit ribosomal RNA", at positions 79 to 587 of the family's 1533-position model. The record is from RNAcentral. Lineage: Bacteria; Pseudomonadati; Pseudomonadota; Magnetococcia; Magnetococcales; Magnetococcaceae.
UUCGGGAUGCCGGCGAGUGGCGAACGGGUGCGUAACGCGUGGAAACCUACCCUGAGAUGGGGGACAACAGCUGGAAACGGCUGCUAAUACCGCAUAAGCCCUACGGGGGAAAGACGCAAGUCGUCUUGGGAGGGGUCCGCGUCGGAUUAGCUUGUUGGCGAGGUAAUGGCUCACCAAGGCGAUGAUCCGUAGCUGGUCUGAGAGGAGAUCAGCACCUGGCAAUGGACCCGGCAGACAUUACUCCUACGGGAGGCAGCAGUGGUGGGGAAUAUUGCGCAAUGGGGGAAACCCUGACGCAGCGAUACCGCGUGGGUGAAGAAGGUCUUCGGAUUGUAAAGCCCUUUCAGUGGGAAAGAUGAUGACGGUACCCACAGAAGAAGCUCCGGCUAACUCCGUGCCAGCAGCCGCGGUAAUACGGAGGGGGCGAGCGUUGUUCGGAAUUACUGGGCGUAAAGGGCGCGUAGGCUGUUUUGCAAG